UACGGGGGGGGCAAGCGUUGUUCGGAAUUACUGGGCGUAAAGGGCGUGUAGGCGGCCAACUAAGUCCGACGUGAAAUCCCCAGGCUUAACCUGGGAACUGCAUCCGAUACUGGAUGGCUUGAAUCCGGGAGAGGGAUGCGGAAUUCCUGGUGUAGCGGUGAAAUGCGCAGAUAUCAGGAGGAACACCAAUGGCGAAGGCAGCUCGCUGGGACGGUACUGACGCUGAGACGCGAAAGCGUGGGGAGCAAACAGG
Molecule: ribosomal RNA, 253 nt
Filed under: uncultured bacterium
Lineage: Bacteria
Description: partial 16S ribosomal RNA
Rfam family: Bacterial small subunit ribosomal RNA
Source: RNAcentral